GGUUAGUUCAAUGCAUGUAGUGCCUAAAAAGGGUGAGACAACUGUUAUUAAAAAUGAAAAUAAUAAGCUAAUUCCUACUAAGAUGGUCACUGGUUGGCGUAUGUGCAUUGAUUAUAAGAAGUUGAAUAGUGUCACCAAGAAGGACCACUUUCCUCUUCCAUUUAUUUACCAAAUGCUUGAAAGGCUAGCUAAGUAUAUCUACUUUUGUUACUUGGAUAGGUAUUCAGGAUUUUUUCAAAUCCCAAUUCACCUAGAAGAUCAAGAAAAGGCCAUAUUUACUUGUCCUUAUAGUACUUUUGCCUAUAGGAGAAUGUCUUUUAGUCUUUAUAAUGCCCCAAUCACUUUUUAAAGAUGCAUGAUGGCUAUUUUUUCUAAUUUUAUUAAAAAUAUUAUGGAUGUUUUUAUGGAUGAUUUCUCUAUUUAUGGAACCAUUUUUUAUAAGUGUUUAGCUAACCUGUCUAAAGUGUUACAAAGAUGUGAGGAGUCAAACCUAGUCCUCAAUUGGGAAAAAUGCCACUUUAUGGUACGAUAGGGCAUAGUUCUUGGUCAGUUGGUAUUAGAAAGAGGAAUUGAAGUGGACAAGGUGAAGAUCGAGAUAAUAGAGAAAAAUGCCAUCACCAUCAUCAGUCAAAGGAGUGCGAAGCUUUUUGGGACAUGCAAGCUUCUAUAGAAGAUUUAUUAAGGAUUUCUUAAAAAUAGCUAAGCCAUUAACAAACUUAUUAAAUCAAGUCGGUCCCUUUGAUUUUAAUGAUAGUUACCUUGACUCCUUUGCAGGAUAAAGGAAGCCUUAAUUUCUGCACCCAUAGUGUAACCACCAGAAUACGAGCUGCAAUUUGAAGUAAUGUGCAGUGCAAGUGAUUAUGCAGUAGGAAUAGUGCUUAGACAAAGGAAGGAUAGAAAAGUCUACGCUAUCUACUACACAAACAAAACACUUGAUGACACACAGGUUAACUAUGUAACCAUAGAGAAGGAAUUUCUAGCAGUAAUGUUUGCAAUUAAAAGUUCAGAUCCUACAUAGUUGGAUCCAAAGUCAUUGUGUACACAAACUAUGCUACUAUCUAGGGCCUCUUAAACAAAAAGGAAGCUAAACCAAGGUUGAUCCAGUGGAUUCUUCUUGUACAGGAAUUCAACCUUGAAAUUAAAGACAAGAAAGGGACCAAGAAUGUGGUAGCAGACCACCUCUCUAGACUGAAGUAGGAAGAUAAAGGGAUUUCUACCAAAAGACCUGCCAAUUGAUGACUCCUUUUCAGAUGAGCACCUCCUAGCCAUCUCUCAACCCCUAUGGUAUGCAGGUAUUGUUAAUUAUCUUGUAUGUAGAGUUUUGCCACCAAACAUCUUCUACCAACAAAAGAAAAAAUUCCUACAUGAUGUAAAGGACUAUACUUGGGAGGAACCUCUGUUGUAAAAAAGAUGCAAUGAUGGGCUUAUUAGGAAAUGCCAGAGGAGGAAAUAGAAAGUGUGUUACAACAUUGCCAUUCAUCAACCUAUAGAGGACAUUUUAGCACCUCUAAGACAAUAGCAUAGAUCUUACAAGCAAGAUUCUAUUGGUUAAAUUUGUUCAAAGAUGUGAGAAAUUUUGUGCUGAUAUGCAAUUAGUGCCAAAGAGCAGGAAACAUUUCAAGAAGGAAUAAGAUGCCACUCCAUGGAAUACUUGAAGUUGAACUGUUCGAUGUUUGGGGUAUAGACUUCAUGGGUCCAUUCCCAUCCUCAUUUGGCAAUAAGUAUAUAGUUGGUGCAAAUUAUAUAUCAAAGUGGGUAGAAGCAAUAGCCUUAUGAACAAAUGAUAUAAAAGUAGUCAUCAAAUUCCUCAAGAAAUACAUCUUUACAAGAUGUGGUUAUUAGUUAUGGGAGAAGUCACUUCUGCAACAACCAGUUUGAAGAUUUACUAAGGAAAUGUGGAGUGACUCACAAAGUGGCAACACCAUACCACCCUUAAACAAGUAGACAUGUGGAGAUUUCAAAUAGGAAAUUAAAGAGGAUCCUUGAGAAGAUAGUAAACCACUCAAGGAAAGACUGGUCCUUGAAAUUGGAUGAUGCACUAUGGACCUACUACACUUCCUUCAAAACACCUAUUGGAACUACCCCCUUUCGCCUAGUGUAUGAGAAGUCCUACCACCUCCCUAUUGAACUUAAACACAAAGCCUAUUGGGCAAUCCGAACCCUCAACUUUUAUCUCAAGACUAUCAAAGAAAAAAGGCUUUUAUAGCUAAAUGAACUGGAAGAGAUUGGGCAAGACGCCUAUGAGAAUGCAAAGAUCUUUAAGGAAAGAACCAAAACCUAGCAUGUCAAGCAUAUCAUAAGGAGAGAAAUCAAAGAAGGAGAUAUUGUCUUGCUCUUCAACUCCAGAUUAAAACUAAUCCCAAAAAAGCUAAGAUCUAAGUGGCCCAGUCCCUUUAAAGUCCUACAAGUCUUCCCACAUGGAGUAGUAGAAGUGUGGAGUGAAACCUUGAAAGCCUUCAAGGUUAAUGGCCAAAGGCUAAAGACAUACUUCUUGGGAGAACCAAUCAAGAAAGGGGCAACACACUCCUUUAGCAACCCACCUGCACAGCAUUGAGCUAAAAAGGGACAUUUAAGCUAAUGACUAUAAAUAAGCGCUUCUUAGGAGGUAACCCAAGACUUAGAAUUUUUCUUUAAGUUUAUUUUGUUUUUAUUAUUUUUUUUUUAAAGCUUUGUAGGAAUCCCAAACUCUAACAUUGGACAUUAUAGGUGUAAGCAAGGAGUGGAGAGGAAGGAAUGGAAGGAGACAAAGAGUCAAAACCACACAAGAGGGAAAUUUUCAAAAAUAGAGAAGUACAUCUAUUGCUAAUCUUUGUUAUGCAUUUCAUUCACACAUUUAGAAACAAGUUAGCAUGAAAACUUAAAGAGAUAGGAAAAGGUAGCAUCUAAAGUGCCUAGGUUUCUGAUCCAGUAAGUUACACGGGGUACCCUAUGCCAUGAAGCAUGCCUCAUGUAACCUACUAAGCACAAAACACACACACAAAAAGCACUCCAUAAAGUUAUAUGGGGUUCCACAUGCAAGUACACAUAAGUCGUGUAACCAAGGAAGGAAUAAGAAUAGGAGUUUUAAAGAAACAGAAACUUACACGAGUUCCCCACACAGUAUAAGUUGUAGGACUAAAACAAAGAGGGAGAUACAGGGGUAGAAAGUUACAUGGGUUACCCUCGUGUAGUGUUACAUAACCCAUGCAACUUAUCUGACUACAAAAAAAAUAAGACAAAAGAUUACACAGGGCAACCCAUGUAGUGACACGCAGCCCUAUGAAACUUUGCAGAGGCAAUUUGAAAGGGUGCAAAAAUUUUUCACAAAAUGAUGUGCCCUCCCCUUCAAUUCCUAUUUAAACAUUUCCAUACCCCAUUUCAUAAUAUAAAACCUCUUCCUCUUCAAAAAUCUCUUAAAUAUUCUUUCCCUCUCUUAAUAUUUCCUGCCAAACCUUAACCCAUUCUUAAUUUUCUCUCUCCAUGGCUCCCAUAGAAAGAGCAGCAGAAAGGAUUUCCUCUUCCUCUAGGGGAAGAAGUGACUCACCAUUACCACCUAAAGGCCAAGGAUAAGGUAGGCAAGACAAGAAGCACCCCAACCCCAACCCCAACCAAAAUUUGCUUUGACCUAGCAUUGUAAGAAUGCUGCACACCAUGAUGUAUGCGCUAGGCUAAACAACAAAAAGAUCAUAUCCAUAAAGUACAUGGACACAGAGUUGCUAGAGCAACUCAGGCUUAAGGAAGAAGUGGAUAGGUUCUUGGAUAAUCGGGUGGACAAGAUCCAUCCAACUGCGCUACCUGACAUAAAGGGACACUACUUUAGAAUUUUUUGGUAGUUUUCAGGCCAUCCUAUGGGCCAUGGAUAGGUAAGAUAGGGGCAGGAUCGAGUUCAGACUCUUGAGGGUGGACAAAGUCAUGAAUAAGGAUGAGUUUAACUCUGUAUUUGGCUUCGAUAAUGAGGGACUCUAGGAGAUCCCUCAAAACAAACUAGAGUACGACAACAUUUCUUUUUGGAAGAUGAUUACCUCUAACACCGAGAUAUAUAACUCCAACUACUGCAAGUCAUCCAGAUUAAUAAACCUGGUAUUAAAAUGCCUACACAGACUUGCAGCCCAUACCAUUAUGGGGUGCAGUGAUAGCCUUGGCAUGUUAAAUGCUAAUGAGUUGUUCUUCUUGUGGUGUAUGGUGACUAGACAAAGAUGCAGUACCAGAUACUUGUUGUGCUAGCACUUCAGGAGGAUUUCUCAUCAAGCCAUGGGUCACAUAGUGGUGGGAUAGUGGUGGGAGGCCUCAUCACAGCACUUGCCUUGCCCUGCACUAUGGGUUUGUGCCAAUACAUGUUAGGUUGUGCCCCAUCUUAAGCACCACUCGGAUUAAUUAGACUAUCGGCAUAUCUAUGGGGCUAUGCAGAAGAGUAGGGGACGCUUGCCUAUUGAUCUAUGCACAAGGGAACGUCAUUCCUCAAAGAGCAGCAAAAGAAUGAGGGGAGUCUUCCCAAGCAUAGGAGCAACAGUAGCAAGAAGAGUUCGAUCCCCUCCUUCAAGGAUCACCAGACAGGGUCCCUCCAUACACACCACCACCUACA
This 4561-nucleotide unclassified non-coding RNA is filed under the name Hevea brasiliensis (rubber tree). Lineage: Eukaryota; Viridiplantae; Streptophyta; Magnoliopsida; Malpighiales; Euphorbiaceae. The record is from RNAcentral.